UGGGGAAUUUUGGACAAUGGGCGCAAGCCUGAUCCAGCCAUGCCGCGUGCGGGAAGAAGGCCUUCGGGUUGUAAACCGCUUUUGUCAGGGAAGAAAUCUUCUGAGUUAAUACCUCGGGAGGAUGACGGUACCUGAAGAAUAAGCACCGGCUAACUACGUGCCAGCAGCCGCGGUAAUACGUAGGGUGCAAGCGUUAAUCGGAAUUACUGGGCGUAAAGCGUGCGCAGGCGGUUUUGUAAGACAGAGGUGAAAUCCCCGGGCUCAACCUGGGAACUGCCUUUGUGACUGCAAGGCUUGAGUGCGGCAGAGGGGGAUGGAAUUCCGCGUGUAGCAGUGAAAUGCGUAGAUAUGCGGAGGAACACCGAUGGCGAAGGCAAUCCCCUGGGCCUGCACUGACGCUCAUGCACGAAAGCGUGGGGAGCAAACAGGAUUAGAUAGCCCUGGUAGUCACGCCCUAAACGAUGUCAACUGGUUGUUGGGAAGGUUCCUUCUCAGUAACGUAGCUAACGCGUGAA
This 515-nucleotide ribosomal RNA is filed under the name uncultured bacterium. RNAcentral's name for it is "partial 16S ribosomal RNA". It matches the Rfam family "Bacterial small subunit ribosomal RNA", at positions 355 to 863 of the family's 1533-position model. The record is from RNAcentral.